GUGAGUGUAGCUCAAUGGCAGAGCGCCGGGCUGUGGCCCCGGUGGUCGCGGGUUCAACCCCCGUCACUCACCCCA
RNAcentral lists this transfer RNA (75 nucleotides) under Deltaproteobacteria bacterium. Its description in RNAcentral is "tRNA-His". It matches the Rfam family "tRNA". From Rfam's summary of the family: Transfer RNA (tRNA) molecules are approximately 80 nucleotides in length. Their secondary structure includes four short double-helical elements and three loops (D, anti-codon, and T loops). The record is from RNAcentral. Lineage: Bacteria; Pseudomonadati; Myxococcota; Myxococcia.